Molecule: small nuclear RNA, 103 nt
Organism: Papio anubis (olive baboon)
Lineage: Eukaryota; Metazoa; Chordata; Mammalia; Primates; Cercopithecidae
Source: Ensembl
UUGCUUCAGCAGCACAUAUACUACAAUUGGAAUCAUACAGAGAAGAUUAACAUGGCCCCUGCAUAAGGAUGACAAACAAAUUCAUGAAGUGUUCCAUAUUUUA